RNAcentral lists this ribosomal RNA (467 nucleotides) under uncultured bacterium. RNAcentral's name for it is "partial 16S ribosomal RNA". It matches the Rfam family "Bacterial small subunit ribosomal RNA", at positions 28 to 507 of the family's 1533-position model. The record is from RNAcentral.
GACGAACGCUGGCGGCGCGCCUAACACAUGCAAGUCGAACGGAGCUGAGAGAAGCUUGCUUUUCUUAGCUUAGUGGCGAACGGGUGAGUAACGCGUGAGUAACCUGCCCUGGAGUGGGGGACAACAGUUGGAAACGACUGCUAAUACCCAUAAGCCCACGAUCCGGCAUCGGAUUGAGGGAAAAGGAUUUAUUCGCUUCAGGAUGGACUCGCGUCCAAUUAGCUAGUUGGUGAGGUAACGGCCCACCAAGGCGACGAUUGGUAGCCGGACUGAGAGGUUGAACGGCCACAUUGGGACUGAGACACGGCCCAGACUCCUACGGGAGGCAGCAGUGGGGGAUAUUGCACAAUGGGGGAAACCCUGAUGCAGCGACGCCGCGUGGAGGAAGAAGGUUUUCGGAUUGUAAACUCCUGUCGUUAGGGACGAUAAUGACGGUACCUAACAAGAAAGCACCGGCUAACUACGUG